Molecule: long non-coding RNA, 591 nt
Organism: Lycium barbarum (goji berry)
Lineage: Eukaryota; Viridiplantae; Streptophyta; Magnoliopsida; Solanales; Solanaceae
Exons: 3
Source: RefSeq, a predicted model, not a curated record
ACGAACCAGCAAACAAAAGAAAGGGUUCUCACCUUGUUUCCUCAAUUCAACAACGUUUUCUUUUUGGAAUUUUAAGAAGUGUUCGGUUCUUGCUCAAAAACAAAAUAUAGAAGGUGAAGAGGAGCAAAAAUUGUUUUGGCAAGCUCAAGUAAUUUAUAAGUUCAUCAAGUAAGACCUGCGAGCUCGAGAAGUAGACGUUGGACAUUAGAUAGAGUUCAAGGUAGACAGGGAGGUGAGCUUGGUUCAGAUUCUUAGUAGCUGUCAGCUGAUUGAGAGCACUCCAUUGUUCGGAGGUGCUUAUGUUUAUUCCUUUGGUUCCUUUAUGUAUUUCGCGCACGACGGAGUCUUGUUCCAUCUAUAUGUAUAAUAUGUCAGUAGAGGCUCAUAGACGCGCAGUGUGGGUUAGAUGGUCUCACAAGAUUACUAUGUUAUAUUUGUAUAUGUUAUUUUGAUAGCCUAAGGGGCACGUGUAUAUAAAAUUAUUUGUGUUUUCAAACGAAAAAUGGUUGUCUUAUGAUUAUGAGAUUAUGAAUGAUAAAGAAAUGUAAAAUGGUUAUGACGAGUGAGGAAACGAGCGGUGCUCGGUGGUUA